AACCACUAUCGUCCAUUUGUGUGAAUAAAAUUUAUGAUUUGCGACGUUGCAUUUUGAUGAUACCGGUUAAUUUUCAUGCAAAUAAUUCUAUAUCUGGCAGCAGUUUUUGUGUUCAUAACAGCGAGGUUUAGAUGGGGAAAAACUCCUCGUAUGUAUCGUUUGCACCGUGACUGAGAAACGAGAAGUUUCUGUUGCAAUUAUCUUCUCUCUUUGAUGGGUACACGUCCAACAGAAAGCUGCUAGCAUUGCCCGAGAUUUUUCGUUUGUUUUGGUUUGAUGAGUUCAUGUAUGAGCACAUAUAUAUAUCGAGUCUAUAUAUCCAGUAAAAUUACUCUCAUAAUUAUGAGAAUAAAUAUAUAUGGGAUUUAUAUUUACAUGCAAGAAGUGUAUCUAAAUUCCAAAUAAUUUCUAAGCGCAUUGUUUGUUAUAGGGACAAAAUACAAGAACAUAUCCACUUUAAGGGUAGUGAUGGACAGGGGUUUGCCCGAGUAAAUAAAGAAAGAAAGAUGC
This 510-nucleotide long non-coding RNA is filed under the name Panax ginseng (ginseng). RNAcentral's name for it is "long non-coding RNA (PGIN_LNC008676)". The record is from RNAcentral. Lineage: Eukaryota; Viridiplantae; Streptophyta; Magnoliopsida; Apiales; Araliaceae.